RNAcentral lists this ribosomal RNA (254 nucleotides) under uncultured bacterium. RNAcentral describes it as "partial 16S ribosomal RNA". It matches the Rfam family "Bacterial small subunit ribosomal RNA", at positions 524 to 776 of the family's 1533-position model. The record is from RNAcentral.
GACGAACCGUGCGAACGUUGUUCGGAAUCACUGGGCUUAAAGGGCGCGUAGGCGGGCCAUCAAGUCAGGGGUGAAAUCCUCCAGCUCAACUGGAGAACAGCUUUUGAUACUGGUGGCCUCGAGGGGGGGUAGGGGCAUGUGGAACUUCCGGUGGAGCGGUGAAAUGCGUAGAUAUCGGAAGGAACGCCGGUGGCGAAAGCGACGUGCUGGACCCUUUCUGACGCUGAGGCGCGAAAGCCAGGGGAGCAAACGGG